UACCCACCACAAUAAUUGAAGUUGAGUACCAAAACGACACCGCAAAGGAUAAGAAAAAAAUGACGUGAUAUUGGAGAAUAAUGUAGAAACCUAAAAUAAGGCUAAAACCCUAUGCCAAAUUUCCAAAGAAAAUGAGCACUCAAAAAAAUAAAUGUUGAGCUGACUCAAUAGCCUUACAACACAAAGAGAAAAUAUAUGCAAACGAGAAUCCCCGGUGAAGCAAUAAUUCAUCAGUUAAAAGCUUACUGUGAAGAAAAUGCCAUAAUAAAAUAGAAUUAUGUGGUUGAAAACAUCUACGCCAAACCCAUCUAUUCCAAGGAACAACUGCUUGCUUACUACACUUAAACUCAUAAGCCAAAGAUAAAGAUAAUACACCAUCGAAAGCAUUUAACCAAAUUAGUUUAAAAUCAAAUCUCGACAAGGGAAGCUUAAUUGUCGAAAUUUCAGACAAUAUAGCAAAAAUGGUGACGCUAGCUGUAUCA
RNAcentral lists this long non-coding RNA (482 nucleotides) under Malus domestica (apple). RNAcentral describes it as "long non-coding RNA (MDOM_LNC014168)". Lineage: Eukaryota; Viridiplantae; Streptophyta; Magnoliopsida; Rosales; Rosaceae. The record is from RNAcentral.